GUGUGCAGGCUGAUAUGUAACAAAACCAUUCCAACAAAAUGGUCUUACAAGGCAAGUUGACCUAAGGGCCUAAACUUCAAAUUGAAUAUUUUUCAAUACUUUAGUUAAUAUGACCUUAUGCUCACCAUAAACGGUUGAACUACAGGCUCACUGAAAUAAAACUUGACCUGUGCACCUUUGACGUCCAUAUUGUAAUGAUGAUCACAACAGCAGCUCCUAAUUUAUAUUCAAAUACUUCCAUUUUUCUAAUUAGACAAGCUGAUAGAAUGUGAAUAUUUGAUAAUAAUAUUUGGACUUAAGGUUUUGCCGUGCGACAGAUACUUAUUAAAGUCAGGAAAGAAAUUGUGAUGUCAAAUAUAAAAAUAUACAAGCAGAUGUGAAAGGUU
RNAcentral lists this unclassified non-coding RNA (386 nucleotides) under Hevea brasiliensis (rubber tree). The record is from RNAcentral. Lineage: Eukaryota; Viridiplantae; Streptophyta; Magnoliopsida; Malpighiales; Euphorbiaceae.